RNAcentral lists this ribosomal RNA (803 nucleotides) under uncultured Bacteroidota bacterium. RNAcentral's name for it is "bacterial SSU rRNA". It matches the Rfam family "Bacterial small subunit ribosomal RNA", at positions 60 to 850 of the family's 1533-position model. The record is from RNAcentral. Lineage: Bacteria; Pseudomonadati; Bacteroidota.
AGUCGGACGGUAGAGAUUCUUUCGGGGAUUUUGAGAGUGGCGCACGGGUGCGUAACGCGUAUGCAACCUGCCUUUUACCGGGGGAUAGCCCGGGGAAACCCGGAUUAAUACCCCAUAGUAUCAGGAGACGGCAUCGUUUUCUGAUUAAAGCCCCGGGAUCUAUCGGGGCGGUAGAAGAUGGGCAUGCGUAGGAUUAGCUUGUUGGCGGGGUAACGGCCCACCAAGGCGACGAUCCUUAGGGGUUCUGAGAGGAAGGUCCCCCACACUGGCACUGAGAUACGGGCCAGACUCCUACGGGAGGCAGCAGUAGGGAAUACUGGGCAAUGGUCGGAAGACUGACCCAGCCAUGCCGCGUGCAGGAAGACGGCCUUACGGGUUGUAAACUGCUUUUAUACGGGAAGAAAAAGCAACUGCGGUUGAAAUUGCCGGUACCGUAUGAAUAAGCACCGGCUAACUCCGUGCCAGCAGCCGCGGUAAUACGGAGGGUGCGAGCGUUGUCCGGAUUUAUUGGGUUUAAAGGGUGCGCAGGCGGCCUGAUAAGUCAGCGGUGAAAUACUCCGGCUCAACCGGAGGGGUGCCGUUGAUACUGUUUGGCUUGAGUGCGGUCUACGUACAUGGAAUUUAUGGUGUAGCGGUGAAAUGCAUAGAUACCAUAAGGAACACCGAUAGCGAAGGCAUUGUACGGGGCCGUAACUGACGCUGAGGCACGAAAGCGUGGGUAGCGAACAGGAUUAGAUACCCUGGUAGUCCACGCCGUAAACGAUGAUCACUCGCUGUUAUCCCGUAAUGGGGGUAGUGGCCAA